UCUCCGUUGGUGAACCAGCGGAGGGAUCAUUACUGAGUGAGGGCCUCCGGGCUCGACCUCCAACCCUUUUGUGAACCACCUCGUUGCUUCGGGGGCGACCCUGCCGUUCGCGGCGUGGGGCGCCGGAGCCCUUCAAACCCUGCGUAACUGAGUCGUCGGAGUUUAAACAAAUUAAAAAAAACUUUCAACAACGGAUCUCUUGGUUCGGGCAUCGAUGAAGAACGCAGC
Molecule: unclassified non-coding RNA, 228 nt
Filed under: uncultured fungus
Lineage: Eukaryota; Fungi
Description: sequence contains ITS1, 5.8S rRNA gene
Rfam family: 5.8S ribosomal RNA (bases 180-228)
Source: RNAcentral